CUCGUAGGCGGUUCGUCGCGUCCGGUGUGAAAGUCCAUCGCCUAACGGUGGAUCUGCGCCGGGUACGGGCGGGCUGGAGUGCGGUAGGGGAGACUGAAUUCCCGGUGUAACGGUGGAAUGUGUAGAUAUCGGGAAGAACACCAAUGGCGAAGGCAGGUCUCUGGGCCGUUACUGACGCUGAGGAGCGAAAGCGUGGGGAGCGAACA
Molecule: ribosomal RNA, 206 nt
Filed under: uncultured bacterium
Lineage: Bacteria
Description: partial 16S ribosomal RNA
Rfam family: Bacterial small subunit ribosomal RNA
Source: RNAcentral